UAUCCGGAUUUAUUGGGCGUAAAGCGUUCUGUAGGCGGUUUUGUAAGUAUAUGGUUAAAGGCUCUGGCUCAACCAGAGACAUGCUGUGUAAACUACAAGACUAGAUGGUUAUCGGGAGUAUCGGAAUUCUUGGUGGAGGGGUGAAAUCCGUUGAUAUCAAGAGGAACACCAAAGGCGAAGGCAGAUAAUUAGGUAAUUCAUGACGCUGAUAGACGACAGCUAGGGGAGCGAAAGGGAUUAGAGACCCCUGUAGUCCUAGCCGUAAACGAUGGACACUAGCUGAUCGGAUUUUUCUGGUCGGCGUAAGCUAACGCGUUAAGUGUCCCGCCUGGGAAGUACGGCCGCAAGGCUAAAACUCAAAGGAAUUGACGGGGGAGCGCACAACCGGUGGAGCAUGUGGUUUAAUUCGAUACAAAGCGAUAGACCUCACCCAGGUUUAAUAUAACUGCAAGUCUAGCGAAAGCUAGAUGUCUUCGAGAGUGUUAUACAGCUGUUGCAUGGCUGUCGUCAGUUCGUGUCGUGAGACGUUUCUUUAAGUAGAAUAACGAACGCAACCCCUAUCGUGUGUUGAAUUUUCACGCGAGACUGCUCUUGAUAGUAUCAAGGGAGGAAGGAGGGGACGAUGUCAAGUCAGCAUGACGCUUACACCUGGGGCCACACACAUCCUACAAUGGGAAGUACAAUGGGUUGCCAACCAGUAAUGGGGAGCCAAUCCCGUAAAACUUCCCUCAGUUCAGAUUGAGGGCUGCAACUCGCCCUCAUGAAGUCGGAAUCGGUAGUAAUCG
This 785-nucleotide ribosomal RNA is filed under the name groundwater metagenome. Its description in RNAcentral is "bacterial SSU rRNA". It matches the Rfam family "Bacterial small subunit ribosomal RNA", at positions 542 to 1344 of the family's 1533-position model. The record is from RNAcentral.